UGCCCUCAGUUGUUUUUCUGGGCCUUGUUUUUUAGUUUCCUCAUGUUUUAAUCUCAUGGGGAUGAGCUCAGAGAAGCUCCCUGGGCCUGUUUCCCAGUCUGCAAAGUGAAGGGAUUAGAUCGGAUGGUCUCUGAGGCUCUUUGUGGCAUCAGCCUUGUCCAGUGCCACACAGUAUCUCCUGGCUUUCUAGGAGUCUAGAUGUUAUGGAAAGUACCCACGUCUGUGUAUCUCCUAUUCCUGUGCAUCUCCUAUGAAUCUCCUGGCAAGAGGAAGACUCAAGAUUUCCUCCAGAGGAAUUGGUCUUCCCUGCCUUCACUCAGCAUGGGAAUCAGUGUUCAUCCUGCCCUUGUCUGCAUCAGAUUUGGCAGUGAGGAGGCUUGGGGAGCACCUACCUUACUUUCAGGGACAGGAAUCUAUUGCUCAUACUUGUUUCCUAGAGUUGUCAAUCUAAAGGCAUUGUCAUGUGACCUGCCUUUCCUCUCCACAUCCCCACCUCUAAUGCUCAAGAUGCUAUUUCCAGGAUCUCCUCCUGCUGCUGCUCCUGGCUCACUGGCCAGAAACUAGCUCACUCAAGGCUGCCGUCCCUCACUUGCGGCCUCCCUGCCAUUCUCCUUCACUGGUUGGCAACCUUGAGAGUUCAAAGGAAAUCAACCUCCGUGGUGGUCAACUGAAGGUAUAGGAAACUAAGUCUGUGGCUCUUCUCUGCUGAUGGAAACAGAAGGGCGCCAAGCCAUGCUUAAAAAGAUCUCGCCAAUAAUUCUUGUGUUUGGGUGUUGGAGCCCUGGAUUCUGGUGCUAUAUAGCUCCUGGUGCCAAAGUCUGGAUCUUUCCACAUUUCAGCAGCACCAACAUCUGCUGCUACUCAAAAUGUCCUGUGGAAGAGGGACAGCUGUGAAGCCCUUUUGCUGGGGCUGUCAUCUUGAAAUCUGAGUGCAAUAGGAUUUGAUUGUAACAGUUAUUUCAGGAUAUUUUGUUUCUUUAAUCUGCACACUUUCUAGAUAGAUUUUAUUUUUAAAUGUCCUCAGCAUUGCAGAAAAUAACGUAGUAAUAGCAAGUAAAGGCUGGAGGCUCAGUUUCUCUGGGCUUCAAAUGGCUGGCAAGGCUGGCUCUCAAAUCCCAAAGUUGGGAGGCAUGUUUCUGGAAAGCAACUGAGGUGUAACUGUUUGGACCCAGGCCUCAUCGUCAGGGGUCCUGGAGGAAGCCUCCAAGUAGAGGGGAGACCUGUAGUUGGAUAGUUGUUUAAUCAAGCCAAAUAGUCUCACUGCCCCCAGUCAGCAAACCCACUUUUAUGACAAGUUUCUUCCAUAGCUUGGCUCUUAAAUUUUACUGGCAGGUGUAUGGUUGUUGGAGGGUUCCUAGUGAGUUGGGGUACCUGGCAAUAGAGCUGCUUGGUUGGAGGGAGUGGAGCUGGCUUAGUACCAGCAGCUGAUCUCUUCCACCUGCUGCUGUUUUUUUGCCACUCUGACACGAAACCAGAGAAAGCUGGAGGUGGAUAAAUAAGCGGUGGCGGUUUUUUUGCUUUUGGGUGGCAAUGAAAGAGUCACAGUGUGGGUUAAAGGGAUCUGCAGUGGGGCCAAGGAUGCCACCUCACCCUCAGCUGCAGGCAAGCUUGCACAAAAAUAACCCCCUCUCGUUGGAGUGUUCGGGAUGUGGGGGGCGCUAUAGUGUUCUUGGACUUGUCGUCCUGGGGCACUUUUAGUUCUUUAUAUUUAGUGGGUCAGUGCCAAGUGCUACCACUUCCCAAUAAAGGAAUGGGGAUCCAGAGGCUGGGUCCCUGGCUACCUUGUUAGGAGGUUUUGUUAUUUCUCUGACAAGACUGCUUUGGAAAGAGCUGCUUUUAGGGAUUAUGUUUUGAAUACCCCGAGUGGGGAACAGGGUUCUCCUCAAAACCUCACAACCAAGAUCAUAGGAGAAAGGGGCCCUAUUUUCCUGCUGCUUCCCAGCUCAGAACAUACUGAAUGGAAUGUAUUUUUAAGAGAAUAAAGUCUAUUUUUUUGUAUUUUAAAGAUUGAGAGGGCUAAGAAGGUAGCCCUCAAAUAAACUGUUAUUGCAUUAUAGGCCCCUUUGUUGGGGGCAGUCUGUUGGUCCACACCUACUUGCUCAGGCAGGUGCUCUGGUCUCACCCCUGCCCCUUGGAGUCUAGGUGCAGCAGCUUCUACAUUCCUGCUCCAAGCAUGGGACCAAGGAGGCCGGAACCUGUCGCUGGAAACCAGGGCAAAGCAGUGGCUCAGGGCUCCUUGGGUGCAUGUGUAUCGUUGGAGCUGCCUGUCUGCAUGUAUCCUCUGGCGUGAAUGCUCUCUGUUGGCUCUGCAGUACAAUAUGUAACCAAUAAAGCUCCCUCGUUUCC
RNAcentral lists this long non-coding RNA (2346 nucleotides) under Macaca fascicularis (crab-eating macaque). RNAcentral describes it as "lncRNA (ENSMFAG00000048344.1)". The record is from RNAcentral. Lineage: Eukaryota; Metazoa; Chordata; Mammalia; Primates; Cercopithecidae.